AUUGAACGCUGGCGGCAGGCCUUACACAUGCAAGUCGAACGAGUGGCGGACGGGUGAGUAAUGCCUGGGAAACUGCCCGAUGGUGGGGGAUAACUACUGGAAACGGUAGCUAAUACCGCAUAUCAUCGGAUCUGCCCAGAUGGGAUUAGCUAGUAGGUGGGGUAACGGCUCACCUAGGCGACGAUCCGUAGCUGGUCUGAGAGGAUGACCAGCCACACUGGAACGGAGACACGGCCCAGACUCCUACGGGAGGCAGCAGUGGGGAAUUUUGGACAAUGGGCGCAAGCCUGAUCCAGCCAUGCCGCGUGUAUGAAGAAGGCCUUCGGGUUGUAAAGUACUUUCAGCGAGGAGGCGUUACUCGCAGAAGAAGCACCGGCUAACUCCGUGCCAGCCGCCGCGGUAAUAC
RNAcentral lists this ribosomal RNA (406 nucleotides) under uncultured bacterium. RNAcentral's name for it is "partial 16S ribosomal RNA". It matches the Rfam family "Bacterial small subunit ribosomal RNA", at positions 30 to 526 of the family's 1533-position model. The record is from RNAcentral.